UACAUACAUACGAUUUUAAUAUCUAAUUUUUUUAUUUUUUUUUUUUCAGUUGAUGCCGAUUACAUAUAUGCCUUGAAGUUAUACGAAGCACUCAACCAUACACCUGCACCGUACCAUAUACACGAUAAAAAUAUUUUAAAUAAUAAGACAAUUACAUCUUAUAGUGAAACCCCAAAUAUAAUUAAAGAUCGACAAGACAUAAAUGAUUAUGUUAGACAACCUGAUAACACAUAUGUUGAAUGUCUAUUAAAUGAUACAUUAAAUUAUCCGUAUUCUCUUUCUGACAAUUUAAGGUAUAACACUACUCCUACAGCUAGUCCUAUUGCUGUCAAUAAAAGAGGACAAGGUACACUUGGAAGUAGUGAUUUUGAUUUAUCGAACUAUAGUCAUAUUAUGAGUGAUAUAAAUAGAACUAGUACUGACCAUUUUAAUAAGACUAGGAAUAUUUCAACUAUCAGUAUUAAUAGUAGUGAUAGUGAUAGUGGUAGUGCUAGUGACAAUCGUAAGGAUAAUCGUAAGGAUAAUCGUAAUAGUAUAAACACUCGUAAUAGUAUAAAAACUCGUAAUAAUAUAAACAUUCGUAAUAAUAUAAAAACUCGUAAUAAUAAUAAGAAACAAAUGAAAAUAACAUCCAACAAAUCGAAAACAAAUGUUGAUUCUAAUAAUAAUAUUUUAAGUCCUAGUAUGAAUUUAACAAAUCAUAAUUUGGAUCUUUUUAAAAAUAAUGAGUGUGAAGAAGUGUCUUUGGACGUGCCUGGUCUUGUCCACGCAGGUGUCGAUGCGGAUGCUCAAACAUAUGUUUUUGCGAAUGUCGAAGUGGAUAAUAAUAACCACAAAUCAACAGAUAUAUCAAAAAAUAACCAAAGUUUUAAAGAUUCUAAAAAUAAGGAUAUAAAUUAUUUAUUCGAACAUAACAUUCAUAUAAAUGAUAAUACACUUAUAAGUCCAUGUGUGAGUCCGAAAAGGUACACCAGAAGGAACACUGGAAACACUAAGACUAAUCCUAUGACUAAUUCUAAGACUAAUUCUAAGACUUAUUCUAAGACUAAUUCUAAGACUAAUUCUAAGACUAAUUCUAAGACUAAUUCUAAGACUAAUUCUAAGACUAAUAUUACUAAUGAUAUUACUAAUGAUAUUACUAAUGAUAUUACUAAUGAUAUUACUAAUGAUAUUACUAAUGAUUUUACUAAUGAUAUUACUAAUGAUUUUACGAAUGAUUUUAAAAGAAAUAGCAAAAAGAAACAUGUUAAAAGAGGCAGUGAUUUAGAUAUUCGCAAGAACAAAAGUAGACAUAUUAUUAGUAACACUCGUGUGUUUAUAGACGACCUAGAUUGUAAUAAUAAAAAAGGAAAUAUAACAAAAAGCGUUGAGACUAUAAAUACUGAUAGCAGUAAUUGUUAUAAUACUAUUCAAGACACAUACUGCAAUGAUAAAACCGAUAGGGAGACCGAAGGUAACUACACUAACAUAUAUAAAAACAGCCAAACUAGUAAUAAUAGUUAUAAAAAGGAGCUUACAUGUGAAAAAAAAAAACAACCUGAAUUUAUUUAUAAUACACGAAGCUCUAAUAAUAAUAAUAACAAAUAUAAUGAUGUUACUAUUGUAAAUAAUUUGAAUAAAAAUUUAAAAAGUAUACAUGAUACAUACAAUUUGAAUAGAAAAGGAUACAAACCACAUGAUAAAAAAGGAAGUAAACAAAAUAAUAUUUCUAUUAUUAAUAACAGUAGUAGUAAUAGUAAUUCUAUUCCCCUUACUUCAAAUAAAAAUUUUAUACUUCGAACCGAAAAUAGUAUUAAUACAUAUGAUCUAACGUCAUCGUCUUCCAUA
This 1827-nucleotide long non-coding RNA is filed under the name Piliocolobus tephrosceles (Ugandan red Colobus). RNAcentral's name for it is "lncRNA (ENSPTEG00000007002.1)". Lineage: Eukaryota; Metazoa; Chordata; Mammalia; Primates; Cercopithecidae. The record is from RNAcentral.